This 498-nucleotide ribosomal RNA is filed under the name uncultured bacterium. RNAcentral's name for it is "partial 16S ribosomal RNA". It matches the Rfam family "Bacterial small subunit ribosomal RNA", at positions 28 to 523 of the family's 1533-position model. The record is from RNAcentral.
GAUGAACGCUAGCUACAGGCUUAACACAUGCAAGUCGAGGGGUAGCAGGGUAGCAAUACCGCUGACGACCGGCGCACGGGUGAGUAACACGUAUCGAACCUUCCCAUAACUCGGGGAUAGCCUUUCGAAAGAAAGGUCAAUACCGGAUCGUACUUUUGCAAGGCAUCUCGAGAAAGUGAAAGAAUUCUUGGUUAUGGAUGGGGAUGCGUUCGAUUAGAUAGUUGGUGAGGUAACGGCCUACCAAGUCUUCGAUGGAUAGGGGUUCUGAGAGGAAGGUCCCCCACAUUGGUACUGAGACACGGACCAAACUCCUACGGGAGGCAGCAGUGAGGAAUAUUGGUCAAUGGGCGAGAGCCUGAACCAGCCAAGUAGCGUGAAGGAUGAAGGUCCUAUGGAUUGUAAACUUCUUUUAUAGUAGAAUAAAGUGAUCCACGUGUGGAUUUUUGUAUGUAUACUAUGAAUAAGGAUCGGCUAACUCCGUGCCAGCCGCCGCCGUAA